Harpia harpyja (harpy eagle) is the source of this 373-nucleotide long non-coding RNA. RefSeq lists it as uncharacterized. The transcript is spliced from 3 exons. NCBI's taxonomy places the organism in Eukaryota, Metazoa, Chordata, Aves, Accipitriformes, Accipitridae. The record is from RefSeq and is a predicted model, not a curated record.
CUGCAGCAGCUAACAUCCCAGAACAAACUGCCCUCAGAAAUGCUUACUCAGCUCAUGGAGUAAUUCAGCUAUGAGUGGGAGUUCUCACGUUUGGCAAAUGGAAGCUUCCUUACGUUUCCAUUUUGCACGAGAGUAUACACCUCCUGGUAUCAAGUACACCAUAGACCAUAUCAUCUGAUGUACUGCAAUUGGCGCUUAUAACGAAAGGGCAGCUAAAGGUUUAGCAGAAGACUUGCAUGCUGUCUUCAAGUUCGUUUUUCAGAAUUCAUGUAUAUUCAACAUCAAACAGGUAUGGAGGACUUGUCUAACCACUUAAGGCCUAGCAUACACCAGCACAUUAUUAACAACACAGGGCUGGGAAAAACCUUUUGAG